GAUGAACGCUGGCGGCGUGCCUAAUACAUGCAAGUCGAGCGAACGGACGAGAAGCUUGCGUCUCUGAUGUUAGCGGCGGACGGGUGAGUAACACGUGGAUAACCUACCUAUAAGACUGGGAUAACUUCGGGAAACCGGAGCUAAUAACGGAUAAUAUUUUGAACCGCAUGGAUCAAAAGUGAAAGACGGUUUUGCUGUUACUUAUAGAUGGAUCCGCGCUGCAUUAGCUAGUUGGUAAGGUAACGGCUUACCAAGGCAACGAUGCAUAGCCGACCUGAGAGGGUGAUCGGCCACACUGGAACUGAGACACGGUCCAGACUCCUACGGGAGGCAGCAGUAGGGAAUCUUCCGCAAUGGGCGAAAGCCUGACGGAGCAACGCCGCGUGAGUGAUGAAGGUCUUCGGAUCGUAAAACUCUGUUAUUGGGGAAGAACAUAUGUGUAUUUAACUGUGCCCGUCUUGACGGUACCUAAUCAGAAAGCCCCGGCUAACUACGUG
RNAcentral lists this ribosomal RNA (497 nucleotides) under uncultured bacterium. RNAcentral describes it as "partial 16S ribosomal RNA". It matches the Rfam family "Bacterial small subunit ribosomal RNA", at positions 28 to 507 of the family's 1533-position model. The record is from RNAcentral.